This 772-nucleotide ribosomal RNA is filed under the name Seaverinia geranii. RNAcentral describes it as "LSU rRNA". It matches the Rfam family "Eukaryotic large subunit ribosomal RNA", at positions 74 to 873 of the family's 3401-position model. The record is from RNAcentral. Lineage: Eukaryota; Fungi; Ascomycota; Leotiomycetes; Helotiales; Sclerotiniaceae.
AUUACCUCAGUAACGGCGAGUGAAGCGGUAAAAGCUCAAAUUUGAAAUCUGGCUCUUUUAGAGUCCGAAUUGUAAUUUGUAGAAGAUGCUUCGGGUGUGGUUCCGGUCUAAGUUCCUUGGAACAGGACGUCAUAGAGGGUGAGAAUCCCGUAUGUGACUGGAUACCUAUGCUCAUGUGAAGCUCUUUCGACGAGUCGAGUUGUUUGGGAAUGCAGCUCAAAAUGGGAGGUAUAUUUCUUCUAAAGCUAAAUAUUGGCCAGAGACCGAUAGCGCACAAGUAGAGUGAUCGAAAGAUGAAAAGCACUUUGGAAAGAGAGUUAAACAGUACGUGAAAUUGUUGAAAGGGAAGCGCUUGCAAUCAGACUUGCACUUGGUGUUCAUCAGGGUCUCGUACCCUGUGUACUUCAUCAAGUUCAGGCCAGCAUCAGUUUGAGUGGUUAGAUAAAGGCUUAGAGAAUGUGGCCCUCUUCGGGGGGUGUUAUAGCUCUAGGUGCAAUGUAGCCUACUUGGACUGAGGACCGCGCUUCGGCUAGGAUGCUGGCGUAAUGGUUGUAAGCGACCCGUCUUGAAACACGGACCAAGGAGUGUACCUAUAUGCGAGUGUUUGGGUGUUAAACCCAUACGCGUAAUGAAAGUGAACGCUGUGAGAACCCUUAAGGGUGCAUCAUCGACCGAUCUGAUGUCUUCGGAUGGAUUUGAGUAGAGCAUAUUGGGGUGCVACCCGAAGAUGUGAUCUUUACCUGAAWAGKKAAGCCGARGAAYUCYGKKGAGC